Molecule: ribosomal RNA, 449 nt
Filed under: uncultured bacterium
Lineage: Bacteria
Description: partial 16S ribosomal RNA
Rfam family: Bacterial small subunit ribosomal RNA
Source: RNAcentral
AACGAACGCUGGCGGCAUGCCUAAUACAUGCAAGUCGAACGAUCACUUCGGUGGUAGUGGCGCACGGGUGCGUAACGCGUGGGAAUCUACCCUUGGGUUCGGAAUAACAGUUAGAAAUGACUGCUAAUACCGGAUGAUGACGAAAGUCCAAAGAUUUAUCGCCCAAGGAUGAGCCCGCGUAGGAUUAGCUAGUUGGUGAGGUAAAAGCUCACCAAGGCGACGAUCCUUAGCUGGUCUGAGAGGAUGAUCAGCCACACUGGGACUGAGACACGGCCCAGACUCCUACGGGAGGCAGCAGUAGGGAAUAUUGGACAAUGGGGGCAACCCUGAUCCAGCAAUGCCGCGUGAGUGAUGAAGGCCUUAGGGUUGUAAGGCUCUUUUACCCGAGAUGAUAAUGACAGUAUCGGGAGAAUACGCUCCGGCUAACUCCGUGCCAGCCGCCGCGGUAA